AGAGUUUGAUCAUGGCUCAGGAUGAACGCUGGCGGCGUGCUUAACACAUGCAAGUCGAACGAAGCAAUUUUCUUGCUUGCAAGAAAAUUGACUUAGUGGCGGACGGGUGAGUAACGCGUGGGUAACCUGCCUCAUACAGGGGGAUAACAGUUGGAAACGACUGCUAAGACCGCAUAACCCGCUAGUGUCGCAUGACACGGACGGAAAAUAUUUAUAGGUAUGAGAUGGGCCCGCGUCUGAUUAGCUAGUUGGUAAGGUAACGGCUUACCAAGGCGACGAUCAGUAGCCGACUUGAGAGAGUGAUCGGCCACAUUGGGACUGAGACACGGCCCAAACUCCUACGGGAGGCAGCAGUGGGGAAUAUUGGACAAUGGGGGAAACCCUGAUCCAGCGAACCGCCGCGUGAGUGAAGAAGUAUUUCGGUAUGUAAAGCUCUAUCAGCAGGGAAGAUAAUGACAGUACCUGACUAAGAAGCCCCGGCUAACUACGUGCCAGCAGCGGC
RNAcentral lists this ribosomal RNA (502 nucleotides) under uncultured bacterium. RNAcentral's name for it is "bacterial SSU rRNA". It matches the Rfam family "Bacterial small subunit ribosomal RNA", at positions 8 to 518 of the family's 1533-position model. The record is from RNAcentral.